RNAcentral lists this long non-coding RNA (691 nucleotides) under Trifolium pratense (red clover). Its description in RNAcentral is "long non-coding RNA (TPRA_LNC008330)". The record is from RNAcentral. Lineage: Eukaryota; Viridiplantae; Streptophyta; Magnoliopsida; Fabales; Fabaceae.
CGAGCUGCUUUUGGAUCUCAAUGUCAUACCUAUUGGGCCUGGAUACUUCAACACAAGAAGGCUCAUUAGGUCAAGAGAUGUUUGGAGUAUAAAAGGAGACACUUAGGAGGAAAAAAGGGGAUUGAUUCUAGGUCAAAAACAAUAUAUUGUAAUAGUUAUUCUCUUGAGUGUUCAAGGACUCUCUAGGGCAGCUCAUCUUUAAUGUUCACAUAUAUAUAAUUAAUUUGGUGAGCGUUAAGCUAGGCUGGACCGAAUAAGUGAAAAAUUUGAUAAGUGAACAAUAAGAAGGGAAAGUUUGAGCUAAGGUAGAAGAGCUAUUAGGUAAAAGAGCUCGUGGCCGAGCUGCCUAGUUAAAGGCGAAAGAGGUGUUGUUAAGGGUUGGAACUCAUAGUUGUUUUGGUCAUGAGCUAGUAACAUGAAAGAAUAGAGGAGCUCUGCUAAGAGACCGAGUUGUCCAAGAGAAAAAAGCUUUGGAGGCCUUUUGCCAAACACUUUGAGUGAUAUUCAAAAGGUAUAUCAUGUGGAAAUAGUUGGUGUAAGCCCUAGAGGCCAAUUACUAUUUAAUAGUGAUAUUCAAAGAAGGAGGUGAAAAUGUUGGUGUAAGCCCUAGAGGCCAAUUAUUUAUAAUUGCAUGAUACUUGUAUUGGAUAAUUUACUUAUUAAAUAAAGGUUUUUCUUUAUUAUGUUUAUG